Molecule: ribosomal RNA, 305 nt
Filed under: uncultured bacterium
Lineage: Bacteria
Description: bacterial SSU rRNA
Rfam family: Bacterial small subunit ribosomal RNA
Source: RNAcentral
CCUACGGGAGGCAGCAGUGGGGGAUAUUGGACAAUGGGGGGAACCCUGAUCCAGCGACGCCGCGUGAGUGAAGAAGGCCCUGCGGGUCGCAGACCUCUUUGGACGGGGAGCAAGGCCGCCGACGUGUCGGCGGAAGGAGAGUACCCGUAGAACAAGCAUCGGCUAACUCCGUGCCAGCAGCCGCGGUAAUACGGAGGAUGCGAGCGUUAUCCGGAUUUAUUGGGUUUAAAGGGUGCGCAGGCGGCACGGCAAGCCGGCGGUCAAAUCGCGGGGCUCAACCCCGCCCAGCCGCCGGAACUGCCGGG